UACAGAGGGGGCAAGCGUUGUUCGGAAUUACUGGGCGUAAAGGGCGCGUAGGCGGCCACCUAAGUCGGACGUGAAAUCCCUCGGCUCAACUGAGGAACUGCGUCUGAUACUGGGCGGCUUGAGUUCGGGAGAGGGAUGUGGAAUUCCAGGUGUAGCGGUGAAAUGCGUAGAUAUCUGGAGGAACAUCUGUGGCGAAGGCGGCAUCCUGGACCGACACUGACGCUGAGGCGCGAAAGCCAGGGGAGCAAACGGG
Molecule: ribosomal RNA, 253 nt
Filed under: uncultured bacterium
Lineage: Bacteria
Description: partial 16S ribosomal RNA
Rfam family: Bacterial small subunit ribosomal RNA
Source: RNAcentral